AGAGUUUGAUCAUGGCUCAGAUUGAACGCUGGCGGCAUGCCUUACACAUGCAAGUCGAACGGCAGCACGGGUGCUUGCACCUGGUGGCGAGUGGCGAACGGGUGAGUAAUAUAUCGGAACAUACCUUGUAGUGGGGGAUAACUAUCCGAAAGGAUAGCUAAUACCGCAUACGCUCUGAGGAGGAAAGCGGGGGAUCGUAAGACCUCGUGCUAUAAGAGUGGCCGAUAUCUGAUUAGCUAGUUGGUGAGGUAAAGGCUCACCAAGGCGACGAUCAGUAGCUGGUCUGAGAGGACGACCAGCCACACUGGAACUGAGACACGGUCCAGACUCCUACGGGAGGCAGCAGUGGGGAAUUUUGGACAAUGGGGGCAACCCUGAUCCAGCAAUGCCGCGUGAGUGAAGAAGGCCCUCGGGUUGUAAAGCUCUUUUGUCAGGGAAGAAACGGUGGAGGCUAAUAUCCUCUGCUAAUGACGGUACCUGAAGAAUAAGCACCGGCUAACUACGUGCCAGCAGCCGCGGUAAUACGUAGGGUGCAAGCGUUAAUCGGAAUUACUGGGCGUAAAGCGUGCGCAGGCGGUUUUAUAAGACAGAGGUGAAAUCCCCGGGCUCAACCUGGGAACUGCCUUUGUGACUG
Molecule: ribosomal RNA, 634 nt
Filed under: uncultured Herbaspirillum sp.
Lineage: Bacteria; Pseudomonadati; Pseudomonadota; Betaproteobacteria; Burkholderiales; Oxalobacteraceae
Description: bacterial SSU rRNA
Rfam family: Bacterial small subunit ribosomal RNA
Source: RNAcentral